GACGAACGCUGGCGGCGUGCUUAACACAUGCAAGUCGAACGGAAAGGCCCUGCUUUUGUGGGGUGCUCGAGUGGCGAACGGGUGAGUAACACGUGAGUAACCUGCCCUUGACUUUGGGAUAACUUCAGGAAACUGGGGCUAAUACCUGAUAGGAGCUCCUGCUGCAUGGUGGGGGUUGGAAAGUUUCGGCGGUUGGGGAUGGACUCGCGGCUUAGCAGCUUGUUGGUGGGGUAGUGGCUUACCAAGGCUUUGACGGGUAGCCGGCCUGAGAGGGUGACCGGCCACAUUGGGACUGAGAUACGGCCCAGACUCCUACGGGAGGCAGCAGUGGGGAAUAUUGCACAAUGGGCGGAAGCCUGAUGCAGCAACGCCGCGUGCGGGAUGACGGCCUUCGGGUUGUAAACCGCUUUCGCCUGUGACGAAGCGUGAGUGACGGUAAUGGGUAAAGAAGCACCGGCUAACUACGUG
RNAcentral lists this ribosomal RNA (468 nucleotides) under uncultured bacterium. RNAcentral's name for it is "partial 16S ribosomal RNA". It matches the Rfam family "Bacterial small subunit ribosomal RNA", at positions 28 to 507 of the family's 1533-position model. The record is from RNAcentral.